UUGAGGGUCUCCUGGUGUAAAUUGCAAC
This 28-nucleotide non-coding RNA is filed under the name Mus musculus (house mouse). Lineage: Eukaryota; Metazoa; Chordata; Mammalia; Rodentia; Muridae. The record is from RNAcentral.